GAUGAACGCUGGCGGCGUGCCUAAUACAUGCAAGUCGAGCGAAUAGACGAGGAGCUUGCUCCUCUGACGUUAGCGGCGGACGGGUGAGUAACACGUGGAUAACCUACCUAUAAGACUGGGAUAACUUCGGGAAACCGGAGCUAAUACCGGAUAAUAUAUUGAACCGCAUGGUUCAAUAGUGAAAGACGGUUUUGCUGUCACUUAUAGAUGGAUCCGCGCCGCAUUAGCUAGUUGGUAAGGUAACGGCUUACCAAGGCAACGAUGCGUAGCCGACCUGAGAGGGUGAUCGGCCACACUGGAACUGAGACACGGUCCAGACUCCUACGGGAGGCAGCAGUAGGGAAUCUUCCGCAAUGGGCGAAAGCCUGACGGAGCAACGCCGCGUGAGUGAUGAAGGUCUUCGGAUCGUAAAACUCUGUUAUUAGGGAAGAACAAAUGUGUAAGUAACUAUGCACGUCUUGACGGUACCUAAUCAGAAAGCCACGGCUAACUACGUG
This 497-nucleotide ribosomal RNA is filed under the name uncultured bacterium. Its description in RNAcentral is "partial 16S ribosomal RNA". It matches the Rfam family "Bacterial small subunit ribosomal RNA", at positions 28 to 507 of the family's 1533-position model. The record is from RNAcentral.